This 497-nucleotide ribosomal RNA is filed under the name uncultured bacterium. RNAcentral's name for it is "partial 16S ribosomal RNA". It matches the Rfam family "Bacterial small subunit ribosomal RNA", at positions 28 to 507 of the family's 1533-position model. The record is from RNAcentral.
GACGAACGCUGGCGGCGUGCCUAAUACAUGCAAGUAGAACGCUGAAGCUUGGUGCUUGCACCGAGCGGAUGAGUUGCGAACGGGUGAGUAACGCGUAGGUAACCUGCCUGGUAGCGGGGGAUAACUAUUGGAAACGAUAGCUAAUACCGCAUAAGAGUAGAUGUUGCAUGACAUUUGCUUAAAAGGUGCAAUUGCAUCACUACCAGAUGGACCUGCGUUGUAUUAGCUAGUUGGUGAGGUAACGGCUCACCAAGACAACGAUACAUAGCCGACCUGAGAGGGUGAUCGGCCACACUGGGACUGAGACACGGCCCAGACUCCUACGGGAGGUAGCAGUAGGGAAUCUUCGGCAAUGGACGGAAGUCUGACCGAGCAACGCCGCGGGAGUGAAGAAGGUUUUCGGAUCGUAAAGCUCUGUUGUAAGAGAAGAACGAGUGUGAGAGUGGAAAGUUCACACUGUGACGGUAUCUUACCAGAAAGGGACGGCUAACUACGUG